This 68-nucleotide transfer RNA is filed under the name Euterpnosia chibensis. RNAcentral's name for it is "tRNA-Asn". The record is from RNAcentral. Lineage: Eukaryota; Metazoa; Arthropoda; Insecta; Hemiptera; Cicadidae.
UUAAUUGAAGCCAAAUUUGAGGCAUUUCAUUGUUAAUGAAAUAAAUGAAUAAAUUUUUUCCAAUUAAA